GAACAAGGGGGGAAAACAGAUUUCAUCUGCAUCAAGGAGUCUGACUUAUAAAAACAAAAUAAAACUUUAAUACUUUCCUAAGAAUAAAGCACUGACUGCUUUUCCAUGAAGAAGUUUUAAAAACUUGUAGAUAAUUUUUCUGAGAUGACAACACUAUUGCUGAGGAUGUAUAUAAAAUCAGAUUUUUUUUCAAUUACCUAUUUCGGUUAAUACGCACUUAGUUUUAAUAUUAUUUAAAAUUGGUGGAAACUUAACGAUACCACCAUAGGAAAAAUAUAGUAUAAAAAUAUAGCACGGGGCCAUGCAGCGUGAGCACGCAGAGCAGUGGAGGGGGCGGACUUCCACUCAGGAAUCUGCGAACCCCAGUCGGUGCCGCAUCCCCAGCCUGCCACCCAUGGCCGCCUACAAACUGGUGCUGAUCUGGCAUGGCAAGAGCGUGUGGAAACUGGAGAACCGCUUCAGCGGCUGGUGCAGUGUAGACCUGAGCUCUGCAGGCCACAAGGAGGCCAAGUGUGGUGGGCAGGCACUGCAAGAUGCUGGCUAUGGGUUUCACAUGUGUUUCAUAUCAAUGCAGAAGACAGCGACCCGGAGCCUCUCUGUACAGUGCUAAGUGCCAUUGAUCAGAUGUGGCUGCCAGUAGUGAGGACUUAGCGCCUCAGUGGGAUCUCACCGGUCUCAGUAAAGCAGAAACUGCUGCAAAGCAUGGUGAGACCCAGGUAAAGAUCUGGAGGUGCUCCUAUGAUGUCACACCACCUCCAAUGGAGCCUGACCAUCCUUUCUACAGCAACAUCAGUAAGGAUCGCAGGUAUCCAGACCUCAAAGAAGAUCAGACACCCUCCUUUGAGGGUCUGAAGAACACUAUUGCCAGAGCUCUGCCCUUCUGGAAUGAAGAAAUAGUUCUCCAGAUCAAGGAGGGGAAAUGGGUACUGAUUGCUGCCCAUGGCAACAGCCUUCGGGGCAUUGUCAAGCAUCUGGAGGGUCUCUCUGAAGAGGCUAUCAUGGAGCUGAACCUGCCGACUGGUACUCCCAUUGUCUAUGAAUUGGACAAGAACUUGAAGCCCAUCAAUCCCAUGCAGUUCCUGGGAGAUAAAGAGACCGUGCGUAAAGCCAUGGAAGGUGUGGCUACCCAGGUCAAGGCCAAGAAGUGAAAGCCAGAGGGCAAGCUAUUGUCCCCAGGAGCAUGUUCCCUGCCUGUCUCGCCCCUUUGCCCCUCCCUCCUGCACAUGUCACACUGUCCACAUCUGUAGGCAUCUUGAGCUGUAGCUGCAGAUGGGGACCAGUAGUUCCCAUUUUCAUUUUAGCCAUUUUGUCUCCUGCACCCAUUCCCUUCAUACAUUCUAGUCAGAGUAGCACUUCUAGGGCACAGGUUCUCAGUCCAAGCUGUGGAAAAGUUCCCCUUAUCCAAAAGUGUUUAAAGGUAGUGAGUUGGGUUUUUUUGAGUGCUUUGUUUACUAAGGACUUGUGGGGAAGAAUCAUGCUAAGCCAUGACCAAUGAAGAGAAGCAAGAGAGGCUGUCUGCCCCCAGGAACCAGUCCUGUGUUCUUCUGCAGUCAGGCCAUUGCCCGGGGGCUAUAGUCAUUCCAGUGGAAGACGAAUGUAACCUGCAUGGUGAUGUGACAACUGUUUCCUCCCUGGCCCCAGAGGAACUGGCUCUAGAAGGUUGGGACAGAUCCUAAAUUUAGUUUGUGUGUUACAUUUACUUUUAUAUAUAAAAAAAGAAAGUAUAGUAUAUACAUAAUUAAUACAAAA
RNA transcript from Cebus imitator (Panamanian white-faced capuchin), 1749 nucleotides. It is a transcript of the gene named phosphoglycerate mutase 1-like, with no coding region annotated. NCBI's taxonomy places the organism in Eukaryota, Metazoa, Chordata, Mammalia, Primates, Cebidae. The transcript has a single exon. The record is from RefSeq and is a predicted model, not a curated record.